RNAcentral lists this ribosomal RNA (20 nucleotides) under Anopheles pallidus. RNAcentral describes it as "partial 28S ribosomal RNA". The record is from RNAcentral. Lineage: Eukaryota; Metazoa; Arthropoda; Insecta; Diptera; Culicidae.
CCCCUAAAUUUUAAGCAUAU